GGGCGUUAUCAGCCAGCAUUUUUACUUUCCUAAUGCCUGCAAAGCUCUCUACAAAGAUGAGUAAGUCCUGGCCCUGAGGAAUGUCUGUGCAGGUUUUCUUCAUUUUUGUUUCCUAUUCUUUGCUGACAUGAAGAAUGAGAGGCGAUAUGUGGAGCGUUAGAGCAGGUGCUGUAAUGUCCUGUGAUGCUGGAGCCCUGUUCUGGACCAAACACUAACUAUUCAGAAGCAAAUGGAGACCAUCGGAGAGAACCACAACUGGACACAAUGCAGAGAUAACAGUGAAGAGCCCAGCCGCAACAGACACAUCCACAUAUAGCUCCUGCAUCUAUGGCUCAGGGCACAUCACAAAAGAGAGGUCUAAAAGAUCAGAAGAGUCAAAAGAACCACAAAGUCUUCCGUGAAACAGUAUCCUAGAGUGGCAGCAUAAAGAAGACUAG
Long non-coding RNA from Meriones unguiculatus (Mongolian gerbil), 437 nucleotides. RefSeq lists it as uncharacterized. The transcript has 3 exons. NCBI's taxonomy places the organism in Eukaryota, Metazoa, Chordata, Mammalia, Rodentia, Muridae. The record is from RefSeq and is a predicted model, not a curated record.